GUCUAAGUUCCUUGGAACAGGACGUCAUAGAGGGUGAGAAUCCCGUAUGUGACUGGAAAUGUUAACCUAUGUAAAGCUCCUUCGACGAGUCGAGUUGUUUGGGAAUGCAGCUCUAAAUGGGAGGUAAAUUUCUUCUAAAGCUAAAUAUUGGCGAGAGACCGAUAGCGCACAAGUAGAGUGAUCGAAAGAUGAAAAGCACUUUGGAAAGAGAGUUAAAAAGCACGUGAAAUUGUUGAAAGGGAAGCGCUUGCAAUCAGACUUGUUUAAACUGUUCGGCCGGUCUUCUGACCGGUUUACUCAGUUUGGACAGGCCAGCAUCAGUUUCGGCGGCCGGAUAAAGGCUCUGGGAAUGUGGCCUCCACUUCGGUGGAGGUGUUAUAGCCCAGUGUGUAAUACGGCCAGCCGGGACUGAGGUCCGCGCUUCGGCUAGGAUGCUGGCGUAAUGGUUGUAAGCGACCCGUCUUGAAACACGGACCAAGGAGUCUAACAUCUAUGCGAGUGUUCGGGUGUCAAACCCCUGCGCGUAAUGAAAGUGAACGGAGGUGGGAACCCCAAGGUGCACCAUCGACCGAUCCUGAUGUCUUCGGAUGGAUUUGAGUAAGAGCAUAGCUGUUGGGACCCGAAAGAUGGUGAACUAUGCCUGAAUAGGGUGAAGCCAGAGGAAACUCUGGUGGAGGCUCGCAGCGGUUCUGACGUGCAAAUCGAUCGUCAAAUUUGGGUAUAGGGGCGAAAG
Molecule: ribosomal RNA, 733 nt
Filed under: Aureobasidium sp. BJ-2021h
Lineage: Eukaryota; Fungi; Ascomycota; Dothideomycetes; Dothideales; Saccotheciaceae
Description: partial large subunit ribosomal RNA
Rfam family: Eukaryotic large subunit ribosomal RNA
Source: RNAcentral